CCGUAAUCCAGAGCGAGAUCGCCCGACUGUUUCCUGUCAUAAAUCAUGCUCACAAAGCUAAUUCCCAAAAUGAAACAUAUCUUACGACGGCUUACGAAGAGUAAAAAAUAAAACACUUAAAAAUGUCCCAAUUUUCUGGAGCUUACAAUAAGAGGCACGCGGAAAUGGCGAAUAAACGGAAAAGCGGAGUAAAGAAAUAAAUACAGAAAUGGAAUGAAGUUGGCCUGUAAAAAGCAAAGUAGCAAACACACAUAAAUAAACACGUUCAAUGGCAAAUAAAAAAUAAAUCAAACAUUUCACUUGGCGCGGCCCAAAAAUAAACAGAAAACAGCAACAACAGCAGGGCAUCAACAAAAAUAUUGUAGAAAUGCUGGAAUAAUAAAAGUGAAAAUGAAAAACAAAU
This is a non-coding RNA of Drosophila melanogaster (fruit fly), 403 nucleotides long. The record is from Ensembl. Lineage: Eukaryota; Metazoa; Arthropoda; Insecta; Diptera; Drosophilidae.